AACGAACGCUGGCGGCAGGCCUAACACAUGCAAGUCGAGCGCUCUCUUCGGAGGGAGCGGCGAACGGGUGAGUAACGCGUGGGAACGUACCGAUUGGUUCGGGACAACCCUGGGAAACCGGGGCUAAUACCGAAUGUGCUCUACGGAGGAAAGAUUUAUCGCCAAUUGAUCGGCCCGCGUUGGAUUAGCUUGUUGGUGAGGUAAUGGCUCACCAAGGCUACGAUCUAUAGCUGGUCUGAGAGGAUGAUCAGCCACACUGGGACUGAGACACGGCCCAG
Molecule: ribosomal RNA, 278 nt
Filed under: uncultured bacterium
Lineage: Bacteria
Description: partial 16S ribosomal RNA
Rfam family: Bacterial small subunit ribosomal RNA
Source: RNAcentral